This 9908-nucleotide long non-coding RNA is filed under the name Homo sapiens (human). Its description in RNAcentral is "non-protein coding ZNF528-AS1:14". Lineage: Eukaryota; Metazoa; Chordata; Mammalia; Primates; Hominidae. The record is from RNAcentral.
CUGCGCUUCCGUUCGCUUGACUGGCUGCGCUUGUUUUCAGGGUUUUGGUCUGAAAACGGAUCUUACCUGCGCAGAGCAAAAUCGGUUGUAGAUUAUAUCCACGAAAAUUCCUUCUAUUAAAAUGAAUUUCAAGUCCCACCUACCCUGGAAGCAGAAAGAGAGAGAAGAGAGAGAGUAAAGAGAAAGAGAAAAGAAAGAGAAGUUGAAAAAGAGAAAGAAAACCAAGAAAGAAAGAGAAAAAAACCGAAAAUAAAUGGACAAGAAAGAAAAACGGUGAAGGUCAACCCUGUGCUCAAUUCCAGAGACUUUCCUAGGGACAUCGUGUUGGGCAUGGAGGACUAAGGCCAGUGUGAAGAUAAGUCACCGAUUCUUUAAAAAAAAAAAGCCAGUAACUUAUAAAAAUAGCCAUAAACGACGUAGUUUUUUGUUGUUGUUGUUGUUUUGAGACAGCGUCUCCCUCUGUCCCCCAGGCGGGAGUACAGUGGCAGGCACUCAGCUCACUGUAACCUCCGCCUCCUGGGUUCAAGUGAUUCUCUUGCCCCAGCCUCCAGAGUAGCCACCACGCCCGGUCCAACUUAGUUUUUUAAUACUUUUUAAAAUUUUAAGACAGGGUCUCUGCCACCGAGGCUGAAAUGCAGUGGCGCAAUCAUAGCUCACUGCAACCUUGACUUCCUGGGGUCCUGGGCAGGUGACCCCCUGUCUCAGCCUGCCGAGUAGCUGUGAGUAAAGGCCUGUGCCUCUCCACUGUGCUAAUUUUCUACUGUUUGUUGCUUUGUUUUUAAUAGAGAUGUAGUCUGGUUUUGUUGCCCAGGCUGGUCUCCAGCUUCUAGCCUCAAGCAGUCUUCCCAUCUGCUCCUACCAAAGUGCUCGGAUUAUAGGCAUGAAUCACCUUGCAUGGGAGAUAAGGACCCCCACAUCAAGCCCUCAGGUUAUUUUUGAAACACAAAUACAUAAGGCCCACAAGCAGGCCCAUUGGCUGCAGACAGUGGGGUCACCUGAAGAACUUUUCUUUGAUCUGAGUACCAACUUCUCACCUAGGUCACUGGGAUCCUGGACUACGGCACUGCUCCAGGCAGGCCUGGUUAUCCUGCUUGAGGCAGCAAUCCUCUUGAGCCUAGUGAAAUGCAACUGGCUGUACCUCAAUGAUGUUGCCCUGAGAUUCUGCCAGUCGAGGUAUUACUUCAAUCUCCUGAGACCAGCCUCUACCUCCAGAUCCAGGGAGGUCAGUGCACAUGUAAAUGGACUAGCUUUAUUAAAGGGGAUAUCUGGGCCAGGCGUGGUGGCUCACGCCUGUAAUCCCAAUACUUUGGGAGGCCGAGGAGGGCAGAUCACCUGAGGUCGGGAAUUAGAGACCAGCCUGGUUAACAUGGUGAAACGAAGUCUCUACUAAAAAUACAAAAAAAAAAAAAAAAAAAAUUAGCCAGGCAUGGUGGCACACGCCUGUAGUCCCAGCUACUCGAGAGGCUGAGACACAAGAAUUGCUUGAAUCUGGGAGGUGGAGGUGCAGUAAGCCAAGAUUGCGCCACUGCACUCCAGCCUGGGAGACAGAGCGAGACUCCGUCUCAAAAAAUAUAAAAAUAAAAGGGAUAUCUGGAUUGGCGGAGAGACUGCAGGACAGCAUUCAAGUGGGGUUGAAUUGGCCCAGUUGCAUCUGACUUCUCACUUGUAGUUCCCAAGAAUGAAUAUAGAAUGUGCUGGAAAAGCAACAUCCUGAGAGGAAGGGACCGGUGAGAAAAGGACAGGAUGUGUUCCAGAUCCCCAGAACAGGAUCCCCUUUGUUGCUUUAGGCCAACGUGCCAUGCAUCCCUGGAGCAUGAAACCCAGGAUGGGCCGCCUUCCAGCCUCCCACAGCUGUGAUGCAAGUUGAACACAUACAGAGAGACUGCAUCUGCACUGGGUGGUUUUCCUGAGCCUUGGGGAGCAGAAUGCAUGAAUCCCAGGUAUCUGCCGAUCUGUAUGUAACAAAUUCACUUCAUGUAACUUACUGUGUGUCCGUGAGAUUAUCUCUCACUCAACUCAGACACAUUGGCAACCAGUGUGCAGUGAACCUGCUUCACAAGCAAGGAUGUGGAGAAACUAUUUUCGUACAUUUUGUGGGAAUCUGAAAUACUGCGGUCAGUAUGGAAAGCAGUAUCAUGGGAAACUUCCUCAACUCAAGAUCACCUACCAAUCCUUACAGAAUCAGAAUCAUCAUACAAACUGGUGAAAGCAUAGUUUCCCCUAGAGGUUGGGAUGAGGGCAAGAAUGUCCCCUCUUAUCACUACUAUUCCACACAAUAUGAAAGGUUCCAGCCAGUGAAAUAAAGGAAAAAGAAAUAAAAGUGACAGGCUGGGUGUGGUGUCUGAGGCCUGUAAUCACAGUGCUUUGGGAGGCUGAGGAAGGAGGGUGGCCUGAGGACAGGACAAAAAAAAUAGUGUACCAACAGAAAAUAUGUUGGUUGUGCAGGCUAAUACCUUUCCCAAAGGAAGGUAGCUACAUCCCUAUGACCUGUGUUACUGGAUAUAUCAAAAGGGAGUUUGCAAAUGUGGUCUAGAUAAGGAUCUUUAGAUAGACAUCCUGAAUUAUAUGGUCAAAGUGAUAGAAUCACAAGGUUCAAUAUCAGAAGGGUGCAGGUGGAUGCGAAGGGACAGAGACAGUGGUGAUGUGUUGAAAAUAGAGGGAUAAAGAGAUUUUUUUUCUCACCUUUAAAGAUGGAGGAAGUGGACCAUGAGUCAAAGGAUGUAAGUGGCCUCUGGAACCUACAAAGGGUAAGGAAACAAAUUCUCCCCUGGAGAUUAAUGAAGAAUCACAGAACUAUGGACCCAUAUUAGAUAUGUGACUUACAGAAUUAUAAAAGAAUAAAUUUUUCUUGUUUUAAGCCAAUCACUGUGUAUAGCAAUAGGAAACUGAUGAAAUGAUUUUAUGUAGAAAAUUCCAAAAAAAUCUACAAAAAUCUCUAGAACAAGAAAAAUGUAAAGGUAGCAAAGUAUAAGGUCAACCUACAAAAAUAUCGUAUAUUUCAUCAGCCAGGCAUGGUGGCUCGUGCCUGUAAUCCCAGCACUUUGGGAGGCCAAGGCAGGCAGAUCACUCAAGCUCAGGAGUUUGAGACCAGGCUGGGUAACAUGGUGAAACCCCAUCUCUACAAAACACAAAAAUUUAACAGGCCAUGGUGGCACAUGCCUGCAGUGCCAGCUACUGGGGAAGCUGAGGUGGGAGGAUGACUUAAGCCUGCAGGACACAGGUUGCAGUAGCUGAGAUUGCUCCACUGCACUCCAGCCAGGAUGACAGAGUAAGGCCCUGUCUCAAAAUAAUAAUAAUAAUAAUCUUGUAUAUUUCUAUACACUAGCAAUUUGCACAUGAAACCUGAUAUUAAAAAUAAAAUACUAUGUAUGAUUGCUCCAUUAAGAAAAAGGUCAAAGAGGCCGGGUGCAGUGGCUUACACCUGUAAUCCCAGCACUUUGGGAGGCCAAGGCAGGUGGACUACGAGGUCAGGAGAUCGAGACUAUCCUGGCUAACACGGUGAAACCCCAUCUCUACUAAGAAAAUACAAAAAAAUUAGCCAGGUGUGGUGGCGGGUGCCUGUAGUCCCAGCUACUGGGGAGGCCGAGGCAGGAGAAUGGCGUGAACUCAGGAGGCGGAGCUUGCAGUGAGCUGAGAUCGCGCCACUGCACUCCAGCCUGGGCGACAGAGCAAGACUCCGUCUCAAAAAAAAAAAAAAAAAAAGGGGGGGGGCAAAGAAAUACAUGUGAAACAAAACAUUCAUAGAACUGUUAUGUUACAACUACCAAAUGCUGAUAAAAGAAAUCAAAGACAGCAAAUAGAGACAUAUACCAUAUACAUUUAUUGGAAGACUCCAUGUAAAGCAAUAUGAAUUAUACAAAUCUGACACAUAGGGUUAAUACCUUUCCUAAUUAAGGCAUUCUGCAGAUACUAACAAGGUUAGCAGUUAUGUAGAAAGACAAAAAACCCAAACACCUAAAAUAGCUAAAACAUCUGACCAACAACAACAAAAGAUUGGUAUCACUUCAUGUGAUUUCAAGUCUUCUAAUACAAUAAAAGUAUUUUUUCCCUUUCUCAUAUUUACAGUAAACCUAGUUUGUAUUUGUCAUUGUCUCGAAGCAAGAAUCUGUCCCAGAAAAAAAAAAAAGAAAGAAAGAAAAUUUCCAUUCAAAACUAACAGGAUUUAGGCCAGGCAUGGUGGCUCACACCUGUAAUCCCAGCCCUUUGGGAGGCUGAGGCGGGCAGAUCAAAUGAGGACAGCAGUUCGAGACCAGCCUGGCCAACUUGGUGAAACCCUCUCUCUACUAAAAAUACAGAAAUUAGCCAAGGAUGGUGGCAGGCACCAGUAAUCCCAGCUACUCAGGAGGCUGAGGCAGGAGACUAGCUUAAACCUGGGAGGCAGAGGUUGCAGUGAGCCGAGAUUGCGCCACUGUACUCCAGCCUGGGCAACAGAGUGAGACUCUGUCUCAGAAAAGAAAAAAAAAAAAAAAACUAACAGGAUUUAUACUAUUGGUUUUCCACAGAAUUCUCCCAGUUGCAGAGUUUCCCAAACACUAUUUAUUAGUGUGGCUUUGCAGGGUGCAGUGGCUCACACCUGUAAUCCCACCAGUUUGGGAGGCAGAGGAAGGAGGAUGACUUGAGCCCAGGAGUUCCAGGCUGCAGUGAGCUAUGAUUGCCACUGCACUCCAACCUGGCUAACAGAGCAAGACCCUGUCUCUCAAAAAAUAUAUAUAUAUAUACAGCUUCCACUCUGCCCAUCUGAGCUCUUACCUGUGUUCACACCUUUGAUCCAUUCCCUCCCAUCUGGAUUUUUUUGCUAUUUUCCCUUCACUCUCCAGAGUCCAGGGCUCUCUCCUUUGCUCCCACAUAGAGAUAAUACUCAGGUCAGGAAGACAGAUUCCUGUUUAUAAAAAAAGAGAACCAAGGUGUACUGUGGCACCUUUAAAACUCAAGCCCUGGGCUGGGUGCAGUGGCCCAGGCCUGUAAUCCCAGCACUUUGGGAUGCCGAGGCAGGCAGAUCACUUGAGGUCAGGAGUUCGAGACCAGCCUGGCCAACGUGGCAAUAUGCUGUCUCUACUAAAAAUAUAAAAAUUAGCCAGGUUUGGUGGUGGACGCCUGUAAUCCCAGCUCCCUGGGAGUCUGAGGCAGGAGAAUCACUUGAACCCGGGAGGUGGCGGUUGCAAUGAGCUGAGAUAGCACCACUGCACUCUAGCCUGGGUGACAGAGCGAGGCUCCGUCAAAGUGAAAGAAAAGAAAGAGAGAGAGAAAGGGAGGAAGGAAAGAGAGAAAGAGAAAGAAAGUCAGUCCAUGGUUUCCAAAACAUACUUCUGUUUCCAUUAAUUUAUUAGGAAUGCUCUUCCAUCUGGCUGUUGAUCUGUGUCCUGUGUAACAUCCUUUAUAACAAAUGGUACACCUCAGUAAAUUGUUUCUCCAAGUUGUGUAAAUCACUCUAGCAAUAGCAAAUUCUGGGGGCAGUUUUGUGCAACUGAGCCCUCAGCCUCCUGUGAGAUCUAAUGCUAACUCCCUAUAAAUGGUGUCAAAUUGAGUUCAAUUAGAGAACACCCAGUUUUUAUCUGAUGAAAAAUAGCUUGUUGGUGGGAAGUAAUCCCCACACAUUUUGAUGACCGGAGAUGAGGCAUUCUGUGUUGAGCAUUCACUAUUGUGUUGAUUGUGAGUAGAAAAAACACUUUGGUUUUUCCUCCUAUCUUAUACACUCACACACCCUACCCCAUCCCAGAAGUGAAGAUAGUGACCCAUACCUGAAUGAGUCAAGUCACUGCCUGCCGUCUGGCAGAAUAAGGACAGCAAAUGGAAGCUAACCUCUGAUACCAAGAAUUAGGAAAUGCACAUGCCUUAUAGACAGUUUUCCAAUUCUCAUCUUCAUCUGUAUAUUUUAAACAAAUGUGAUGUUUAUUAUAGAGAAAUUAAUCAUAAUAUCCAAUCAAUUCAUCAUUCAUCUGGAUUGAGUGUCCCCCUCUUUCCUCAUUACUGUGUGUUUCUCUACCUACCUCUCAUUCUCACCUUCUUUUCCUAGCUUUUUUUUUCUCUUUAUUUUUCCCCUAGGAUUCUCCUCAUUUCAAGCCCUUCUUCCUUCUCCUGCUCUUCCCUCUAUUCCUUCUCUUCCACUUGUUCUGCUCCUUUCUCACUUCUUUCACCUCUUAUUCUUCUUUCUGCCCAAUAUUUGUCUCCAAUUUUCAUAUAGUUCUGCCUCUUUCUUCCCCCCGUCUCUGCUGCCCCCUAGCUUCCCCUGUUAAAUCCCCUCUUCCCUGCUAUAUCCACCUGUCCCCUCUCUGGCAUCCCCAGAUCCCAGUUCUCCCCAGGCUGUGGUUCUCCCUGUGCUCUCCUUAUCACUGGCUGCCCCUCUUGCUCUCCCAGCACCAUGCUGCUCUGUCUGCCCUGGCUCCAAAUCCCUCCUUCUCUCCCCAACUCUCCAUCUGAGGAGCCUCCCCUUUUCUGCCCCUCUCCCUAUCUUGCUGAACUUUAUCUCUCUAGAAACCCAGUUUUUCUCUAAAUUUCUCUAGUUGCUUUUCUCCCCCUGCUCCUUUCUCAGCAUCUUCAUGCACUGUCUCUGCAAAUCCCUCAUCCACCAUCUACUUUGCCAUCUGUUUUGUUUUGUUUUUUGUUUUUUGAGAUGGAGUUUUGCUCGUCGCCCAGGCUGGAGUGCAAUGGUGCGAUCUUGGCUCACCGCAACCUCCGCCUCCCGGGUAAAAGCGAUUCUCCUGCCUCAGUCUCCAGAGUAGCUGGGAUUACAGGCAUUCGCCACCAUGCCUGGCUAAUUUUGUAUUUUUUAGAGACAGGGUUUCUCCAUGUUGGUCAGGCUGGUCUCAAAACUCCUGACCUCAGGUGAUCUGCCCGCCUCAGCCUCCCAAAGUGCUGGAAUUACAGGCGUGAGCCAUCGCACCCAGCUGCCGUCUGUUUAUGGGUCUCCUUCAUUCUUCUUUCCCAUUUCACCAUUUUUCUAUUUCCUCUCCUCCACACAUUCAUAGGGAGGGGACUGCAGUCAGAUCCCCACCUCAAGAGCCCAUUUCCUGUGGGAUGGAAUUUGGGACAAGAGAAACCUUAACGUCCUGAGAUAGAAGUCACGUCCCCACACUCGAUAUCAGGAGAAGGGGAGGCCUGGGGAGCAGAAGGGCCCCCGAUCAAGGAGGAAAAAGGCAGGAGAAAGUCAGGAGAGGGGCAGGGUCUGCAGGAUCCCAGGACCAGGAAGAGUUCACGGCCUCCCUGGGACUGGGGCUGCGUCGCUGCGCUCCAGGAGCUGACGAGGGAGCGGAGCAGAUGGGAAGCUCCCAGGGCGGGAAUCAACCUUGCGGUGAGGACUUUAAAAAAGGUGCGGGCCAGUGCAGGGGACACUGAAGGAUUUGAGGCAGGAAAACUCCGCGAUAAGAGCUGUCUAUAUGGCCCUGUGGCAGAAGCACGGGGGACACGACCCCAUGGAACUGUGUCCAUUAAACCUCUUUGUCUUCAUAAAUUACCCAGUCUCGGGUAUUUCUUUAUUAGCAGCGUGAGAACAGACUAAUACAGUAAAUUGGUAAUGGUAUAGAGUGGGGUGCUGCUAUAAGGAUACCUCAAAAUGUGGAAGCAAAUUUUGAACUGGGUAACAGGCAAAGGCUGGAACAGUUUGGAGGGCUCAAAAGAAGACAGGAAGACGUGGGAAAGUUUGGAGCUUCCUAGAAAAUGGUUGUUGAAUGGUUCUGACCAAAAAGUCCAGGCUGAAGGUGGUCUCAGAUGGAGAUGAGGAACUUUAUUGGAACUGGAGCAGAGGUGAGCUGCAGGGGCGGAGCCCUCAUGGAGAACCUCUGCUAGAGCAGUGCAGAAGUAAAAUGUGGGGUUGGAGCCCCCACACAGACUACUCACUACUCGCCUAGUGCAGCCGUGAGAAAAGGGCCACCCUCCUAUAGACCCCAGAAUGGUAGAUUCACCGACAGCUUGCACCAUGUGCCUGGAAAAGUAGCAGACACAACACCAGCCUGUGAAAGCAGCCAGGAGAGGAGCUGUACCCUGCAAAGUCACAGGGGCAGACAUGGGUUCCCUGCAAGACCACUGGAACCAACCUCUUGCAUAAGUGUGACCUGGAUGUGAGACACGGAGUCAAAAGAGAUCAUUUUGGAGCUUUGACUGCCCUGCUGGAUUUCAGACUGGCAUGGGGCCUGUGACCUGUUUUGGCCAAUUUCUCCCAUUUGCAACGGGCGUUAUUUAUCCAAUACCUGUGCCUCCAUUGUACCUAGGAAAUAACUAACUUGCUUUUUAUUUUACAGGCUCAUAAACAGAAGAGACUUGCUUGUCUCAGAUGAAACUUUGGACUGUGGACUUUUGAGUUAAUGCUGAAAUAAGACUUUGGGGGACUGUUGGGGAGGCAUGAUUGGUUUUGAAAUGUGAGGACAUGAGAUUUGGGAGGGACCAGGGGCAAAAUGAUAUGGUUUGGCUGUGUCCCCACCAAAUCUCAUCUUGAAUUGCAGCUCCCAUGAUCCCCACAUGUGGGAGGGACCCGGGGGGAGGUAACUGAAUCAUGGGGGUGGGAUUUUCCCAUGCUGUUCUCAUGAUAGUGAAUAAAUCUCAUGAGAUCUUAUGGUUUUAUAAAGGGCAGUUUCCCUGCACGGGCUCUCUCUUGCCCGCCACCACGUAAGACAUGUGUUUGCUCCUCCUUCACCUUCUGCCAUGAUUGUGAGGUCUCUCUAGCCGUGUGAAACUGUGAGUCCAUUAAACUUCUUUUUCUUUAUAAAUUACCUAGUCUUGUGUAUGUCUGUAUUAGCAGCAUGAGAACAGACUAAUACAACAUCCCAGGCUGCUCACCUAUCCCUGUUCUCCAAUUUGGACCAGCUGGGGAAGUCCAUCCUGCUUUCCCCAGAAAGCCUCAUGUAAAUGUUUAUGUAGUAAACAUUUGCAGACCAUAUCAGUGUAUGGCAUCAUCAUUCUCAAUAUAUAAUACAAACUUUAGGUGGACUUCAAACAAAUUCCAGUACAGCAGUCAAAAGUUCAAAUUAUCGGUCAAGCAUGGUGGCUCACACCUGUAAUCUCAGUACUUUGGGAGGCUGAGGCGGGUGGAUCACGAGGUCAAGAGAUCAAGACCAUCCCGGCCAACAUGGUGAAACCCUGUCUCUAUUAAAAAUACAAAAAUUAGCUGGGCGUGGUGGUGCACGCUUGUAGUCCCAGGUACUCAUGAGGCUGAGGCAGCCGUUUGAACCCGGGAGGCAGAGGUUGCCAUGAGCCAAGAUCGCGCCACUGCACUCCAGCCUGGUGACAGAGACUCUGCCUAAAAAAAAAAAAAAAAAAAAAAAAGUUCAAAUUGCCAAAAAUGUUGUAAGGGGAAGUAUAUGAAGUUUCUAGUUAAUCUACAAAAGCAAAAAAAACUCCCAUUCUAUGUGACCAUUCUUAAAAUUUAUGGGCCAGGCGCAGUGGCUCACACCUGUAAUCCCCGCACUUUGGGAGUCCGAGGCGGGUGGAUCACAAGGUCAGGAGUUUGAGACCAGCCUAGCCAAUAUGGUGAAACCUUGUCUCUACUAAAAAUACAAAAAUUAGCCGGGCGUGGUGGUGCGCGCCUGUAGUCACAGUUAUUUGGGAGGCUGAAGCAGAAGAAUUGCUUCAACCUGGGAGGUGGAGGUUGCAGUGAGCCGAGAUCGUGCCACUGCACUCCAGACUCUGUCUCAAAAAAAAAAAAAAAAAGAAAAUUUAUGAACAUUAAUAUUUUCCACUUACGUCACUGAGCACUACUAGGAAAAAAAAAAAAGACAUGCACUACUAGGAAAAAAAAGACAUUGUGGUACAGUAUUUUCACUCUUAUUAACAUACUUUCUUUCAUUUAAUAGUAUUUGUCGCCAGGCACAGUGGCUCACGCCUGUAAUCCUAGCACUUUGGGAGGCCGAGGCAGGCAGAUUGCCUGAGUUCAGGAGUUCGAGAACAGCCUGGGCAACAUGGUGAAACCCCGUCUCUAA